This 465-nucleotide ribosomal RNA is filed under the name uncultured bacterium. RNAcentral describes it as "partial 16S ribosomal RNA". It matches the Rfam family "Bacterial small subunit ribosomal RNA", at positions 338 to 795 of the family's 1533-position model. The record is from RNAcentral.
CCUACGGGUGGCUGCAGUGGGGAAUAUUGCGCAAUGGGCGAAAGCCUGACGCAGCGACGCCGCGUGAGGGAUGAAGGUUCUCGGAUCGUAAACCUCUGUCAGAAGGGAAGAAAUUAUAUCAUGCUAAUCAGUGGUGUAUUGACGGUACCUUCAAAGGAAGCACCGGCUAACUCCGUGCCAGCAGCCGCGGUAAUACGGAGGGUGCGAGCGUUAAUCGGAAUUACUGGGCGUAAAGGGUGCGCAGGCGGUUGAGUAAGACAGAUGUGAAAUCCCCGAGCUUAACUCGGGAAUGGCAUAUGUGACUGCUCGACUAGAGUGUGUCAGAGGGAGGUGGAAUUCCACGUGUAGCAGUGAAAUGCUUAGAUAUGACGAAGAACCCCGAUUGCGAAGGCAGCUUGCUGCAGCGGAACUGACGCUGAUGCUCGAAAGCGCGGGUAUCGAACAGGAUUAGAUACCCCUGUAGUC